Small nuclear RNA from Lynx canadensis (Canada lynx), 186 nucleotides. Its record names the gene U2. It matches the Rfam family "U2 spliceosomal RNA". From Rfam's summary of the family: U2 is a small nuclear RNA (snRNA) component of the spliceosome (involved in pre-mRNA splicing). Complementary binding between U2 snRNA (in an area lying towards the 5' end but 3' to hairpin I) and the branchpoint sequence (BPS) of the intron results the bulging out of an unpaired adenosine, on the BPS, which initiates a nucleophilic attack at the intronic 5' splice site, thus starting the first of two transesterification reactions that mediate splicing. The record is from Ensembl. NCBI's taxonomy places the organism in Eukaryota, Metazoa, Chordata, Mammalia, Carnivora, Felidae.
AUCGCUUCUCGGCCUUUUGGCUAAGAUCAAGUGUAGUAUCUGUUCUUAUCAGUUUAAUCAUCUAUUUACAUCAGUAUGUAAUUAAUGGAUUAAUGGAUAUUUAUUUUAUACUUUGAUAUAAUUAAGUACUACUUUGAUAGUAGUCCCUUUGACAUGCACCAUGACUGCGUAUGCAGGGUGGGGUUU